GUACUGCUGAGGAGUCCCACAAUAGGAUGAAACAGCCGUCUAGUGU
RNAcentral lists this non-coding RNA (46 nucleotides) under Schistosoma haematobium. The record is from RNAcentral. RNAcentral also lists the same sequence under 1 other name. Lineage: Eukaryota; Metazoa; Platyhelminthes; Trematoda; Strigeidida; Schistosomatidae.